GUUUAGAUAGUUUAAUAAAAAUGUUGAUUUGUGGUGUCAAUGAUAAGAUUUGUCUUUUUAAACC
RNAcentral lists this transfer RNA (64 nucleotides) under Gasterophilus nasalis. RNAcentral describes it as "tRNA-His". The record is from RNAcentral. Lineage: Eukaryota; Metazoa; Arthropoda; Insecta; Diptera; Oestridae.